RNAcentral lists this ribosomal RNA (758 nucleotides) under uncultured bacterium. RNAcentral describes it as "bacterial SSU rRNA". It matches the Rfam family "Bacterial small subunit ribosomal RNA", at positions 47 to 862 of the family's 1533-position model. The record is from RNAcentral.
CCUAACACAUGCAAGUGGAACGAUAUAGUGGCAGACGGGUGAGUAACGCGUGGAAACGUGCCUUUCACUACGGAAUAGCUCUUGGAAACGAGUGGUAAUACCGUAUACGCCCUCCGGGGGAAAGAUUUAUCGGUGAAAGAUCGGUCCGCGUUAGAUUAGCUAGUUGGUGGGGUAAAAGCCUACCAAGGCGACGAUCUAUAGCUGGUCUGAGAGGAUGAUCAGCCACACUGGGACUGAGACACGGCCCAGACUCCUACGGGAGGCAGCAGUGGGGAAUAUUGGACAAUGGGCGAAAGCCUGAUCCAGCCAUGCCGCGUGAAUGAUGAAGGCCUUAGGGUUGUAAAAUUCUUUCGCCAGGGAUGAUAAUGACAGUACCUGGUAAAGAAGCCCCGGCUAACUUCGUGCCAGCAGCCGCGGUAAUACGAAGGGGGCUAGCGUUGUUCGGAAUUACUGGGCGUAAAGCGCACGUAGGCGGAUUAUUAAGUCAGAUGUGAAAUCCCGGGGCUCAACUCCGGAACUGCAUUUGAAACUGGUAAUCUAGAGUUCAGGAGAGGUUAGCGGAAUACCGAGUGUAGAGGUGAAAUUCGUAGAUAUUCGGUGGAACACCAGUGGCGAAGGCGGCUAACUGGACUGAUACUGACGCUGAGGUGCGAAAGUGUGGGGAGCAAACAGGAUUAGAUACCCUGGUAGUCCACACCGUANACGAUGAGUGCUAGUUGUCAGCAGGCAUGCCUGUUGGUGACGCAGUUAACGCAUUA